GGUGACUCAGUGGUAGAGUGCUUGCCUUGCAUGCAUGAGGCCCUGGGUUCGAUUCCCCAGCACCA
Molecule: non-coding RNA, 65 nt
Organism: Dipodomys ordii (Ord's kangaroo rat)
Lineage: Eukaryota; Metazoa; Chordata; Mammalia; Rodentia; Heteromyidae
Source: Rfam